This is an RNA transcript of Cucumis sativus (cucumber), 2922 nucleotides long. It is a transcript of the gene named amino acid transporter AVT6C-like, with no coding region annotated. Lineage: Eukaryota; Viridiplantae; Streptophyta; Magnoliopsida; Cucurbitales; Cucurbitaceae. The transcript has 12 exons. The record is from RefSeq and is a predicted model, not a curated record.
UCUUCCUUUUUCGUUCUCCGUUCUUCAUUUCAGUAUUAACCUCACCGUCCCAAUGUCCCCACCGCCGGAGCAUGUACCUCUCCUGCCGGAGAUGAAGCCGCCUAUUAAAACCGCAUCUGUCUCCGGCGCCGUGUUUAAUGUAUCGACCAGCAUAAUCGGCGCCGGAAUCAUGUCGAUUCCAUUCACUCUUAAGGUCCUCGGCAUAAUCCCAGCCGUCGCGCUAAUCAUGCUUGUGGCUUUCAUGACCGACUUAUCGGUGGAGCUUUUGCUCAGAUUCACUCACUCCAGUAACUCAACAACUUACGCCGGCGUGAUGAAGGAGUCAUUCGGCUUGAUUGGUUCCGUGGCUACGCAAAUUUGUGUCAUGAUUACAAAUCUCGGAUGCUUAAUCAUGUACUUGAUUAUAAUAGGCGAUGUCUUAUCUGGAAACAAAGGAGGAGGGGGAGGAGAGGAAGUGCAUUUUGGAGUAUUGCAACAAUGGUUUGGAAAUCAUUGGUGGAAUUCGAGAGAGUUUUCGAUUCUUUUCACAGUCGUCUUUAUUCUACUUCCUCUUGUUCUUUAUCAACGCGUUGAUUCUUUGAGAUUUAGUUCGUUUGUAUCGGUUGUUCUGGCGGUGGUUUUCGUUGGGAUAAGCUCUGUAAUGGCGGUAAUGGCGAUUGUUGAAGGGAAAACGAAGAGGACGAGACUGGUGCCGGAGGUUGAAGAUGAAACUUCCUUCUUCGAACUUUUCACUGCUGUGCCUGUUAUUGUCACUGCCUUCACCUUUCAUUUCAAUGUUCAUCCAAUAAGUUUCGAGCUUCGAAACUCAAGAAAUAUGAUGACGGCAGUUCGAGUGGCUCUCAUUCUAUGUGCCAUCAUAUACUUCGCCAUCGGCAUUUUUGGGUACUUGCUAUUUGGGGACUCUUUGAUGUCGGACAUUUUAACCAAUUUUGAUCAAACUUUUGGUUCAUCAACAGGAGCUAAUUUACUGAAUGAUAUUGUGAGACUAAGCUAUGCAUUUCAUCUCAUGCUGGUUUACCCUUUGCUCAACUUCUCAUUAAGGUUCAAUAUCAAUGAAUUGUUGUUCCCAAAUAGGCCUCCUUUGGCCUCAGAUACUACAAGGUUUUUUACCAUCACAAUGGCUUUGCUUCUCUUCUCCUACUUGGCUGCCAUUGCUUUCCCAAAUAUUUGGUCCAUUUUUCAGUUUAUGGGCUCGACCUCGGCUGCCUGCCUCGCCUUCAUCUUCCCUGGAGCCAUCGCCCUGAGGUUAUGGCGGAAAUGCGUGACAAUUCAAACAUUUCUCGAGAUUUAUUUUCACUCGAAACGGGACCAUCACUUGAUGUCUGCUUUUACAGUGGAUGCAUUGUUGGUGGUGUACGAUUUCAAACGUUGGAGCAUAAUUUUCGAUGCACAACACAAAAUAGUGGAGUCAUGGUAAUCGGGGAGGUGACGAUGAUUUGACACAAACAAAAACAAAAAUCAUAGGACGCACGAGGAACUAGGUUACAAAUCAAUAAACACGUCCCAUUUUUGGUUCGCCGAGGAAUCGAUGAUUCUCCCGAUCUAGACAUAUCAGGUCAUGUCGCAAAAAGAUCAAAUGUACGUCAUGUCGCGAAAAACUUCAUAAACGAUGAAGAUGACGAACAAUCAUCACAUCAAAAAAUGGCGUCUAACUUUCCAAGCAAUACGCAAGAGGAAGACUAUUUCCUUAAUGUAGACGCGUUGGAUAACGUGGGCGGUUCGUCGUUAGUAGGUGACACUUCAUAUCUCUCUCAUCAGGCUCCCACUCCCACUGCGAGGAGCAUACGACGACAUUCUUGAAACAUAGAUGUCGAGCGGUACUUAUAGCAGAAUGGGAGAAUUCCCAUUUCAAUCCCCCCCGGAGGGAACAAACUUGUCUCGGUACACGCCCCUUAUUUCAGUUGCACGAUCGGUGUGUUGACACAAGAUACGUUUUCUAUUUAGGCCGUAAAGUUGACAGUGUACCACCAAAGUGCAUCAAGAUCGUCAAGGCCGGACUAAAUGAUCCAACACUUAAUCGCAAAUUUUCAUGUUUGAUCUAAAAGAUCCAGCACUUAAUCGGUUUGUUCAGCAUCAAAUGCUCACCGUGUAAAAGAAAUUCAGAACAAGUAACCAUCGAAAUUUUAAGAAGUUUGACACCCUUAAAGAAGCACGAGCAAACUCACCCCCGAGAUUGGUCAAUCGGGUGGAAGGAGCAAUCAAAUAUGUGCAGGUCUGUUAGGACGUGGCAGCCUUACAACCACAAGAGUGGCACAAAGUCGGUUAUUCAGAGACAAACAGAGCUUACUGAACUACACGAUCGUCUGGUGGACCUUGUCGAGUUAUUCAGAGAAACACACGCCAGUAGUAGUGGCGAGUUCAUUUCAACAAGAGGACGCUUUUAAUCAAAUGGUGGAACUUCAGUCUUAGCCUGUUCUAGAGGGUUCUCAACCACUAACUGAGGACUAGAUAUGCGAGACAGUUUUGAGUAAACGACCGGGUUACUCAAAAGGUCUUGGUUGGGGCCCAAAACCCAAGUCUAAGACUACCGCUUCAUCUUCUUCCUCUAAUAUGUAUGACCACCAAUCACACAUAGCAGAGGUUAGCGAACUAAAGGCAAGCCUUGAAAAUGCUAACUAAAUCAUCAAAGAACAAUGUCUGAGGGAGUUGGAGUGAGAUCGACAAAUGCAGGAGCGAGAUCGGCAAAUGACGAACCAUGCACGACAAAUUGAGGAGAUGAAGAAGAUGCUCGAGGAGAUCAGUCAGGCACAAAGAGGCCCGUGAUCACUUGGAGUUUCACGUCCAUAACUACAGCGUACUAAAGCAUUUUCGAGUUUUUUUUUAAUGUAAUGUUUUGGAUGAUGUAAUUGUUUUUUUUUUUUUGUAUUGUGAACAUAUAUUUCAUGGAUAAUUUUGUAAUGAACGAAAAUUUUUUCAUUUUCA